RNAcentral lists this ribosomal RNA (202 nucleotides) under uncultured fungus. Its description in RNAcentral is "partial 5.8S ribosomal RNA". The record is from RNAcentral. Lineage: Eukaryota; Fungi.
ACGAGUUGUAGCUGGCCUUCCGAGGCAUGUGCACGCUCUGCUCAUCCACUCUACCCCUGUGCACUUACUGUAGGUUGGCGUGGGCUCCUUAACGGGAGCAUUCUGCCGGCCUAUGUAUACUACAAACACUUUAAAGUAUCAGAAUGUAAACGCGUCUAACGCAUCUAUAAUACAACUUUUAGCAACGGAUCUCUUGGCUCUC